AUUUGAAAUCUGGUACCUUCGGUGCCCGAGUUGUAAUUUGGAGAGGGCAACUUUGGGGCCGUUCCUUGUCUAUGUUCCUUGGAACAGGACGUCAUAGAGGGUGAGAAUCCCGUGUGGCGAGGAGUGCGGUUCUUUGUAAAGUGCCUUCGAAGAGUCGAGUUGUUUGGGAAUGCAGCUCUAAGUGGGUGGUAAAUUCCAUCUAAAGCUAAAUAUUGGCGAGAGACCGAUAGCGAACAAGUACAGUGAUGGAAAGAUGAAAAGAACUUUGAAAAGAGAGUGAAAAAGUACGUGAAAUUGUUGAAAGGGAAGGGCAUUUGAUCAGACAUGGUGUUUUGUGCCCUCUGCUCCUUGUGGGUAGGGGAAUCUCGCAUUUCACUGGGCCAGCAUCAGUUUUGGUGGCAGGAUAAAUCCAUAGGAAUGUAGCUUGCCUCGGUAAGUAUUAUAGCCUGUGGGAAUACUGCCAGCUGGGACUGAGGACUGCGACGUAAGUCAAGGAUGCUGGCAUAAUGGUUAUAUGCCGCCCGUCUUGAAACAC
This 535-nucleotide ribosomal RNA is filed under the name Saccharomyces cerevisiae (brewer's yeast). RNAcentral's name for it is "eukaryotic LSU rRNA". It matches the Rfam family "Eukaryotic large subunit ribosomal RNA", at positions 113 to 662 of the family's 3401-position model. The record is from RNAcentral. Lineage: Eukaryota; Fungi; Ascomycota; Saccharomycetes; Saccharomycetales; Saccharomycetaceae.